UGAGGAAUAUUGGACAAUGGAGGCAACUCUGAUCCAGCCAUGCCGCGUGCAGGAAGAAUGCCCUAUGGGUUGUAAACUGCUUUUAUUUAGGAAGAAUCGCAAGUACGUGUACUUGUUUGACGGUACUAAACGAAUAAGGACCGGCUAACUCCGUGCCAGCAGCCGCGGUAAUACGGAGGGUCCAAGCGUUAUCCGGAAUCAUUGGGUUUAAAGGGUCCGCAGGCGGAUUAUUAAGUCAGUGGUGAAAUCUCUUAGCUUAACUAAGAAAUUGCCAUUGAAACUACUAGUCUUGAAUUCGGUCGAAGUGGGCGGAAUGUGUCAUGUAGCGGUGAAAUGCAUAGAUAUGACACAGAACACCGAUAGCGAAGGCAGCUCACUAGGCCUGAAUUGACGCUCAGGGACGAAAGCGUGGGGAGCGAACA
This 422-nucleotide ribosomal RNA is filed under the name uncultured Brumimicrobium sp. RNAcentral's name for it is "bacterial SSU rRNA". It matches the Rfam family "Bacterial small subunit ribosomal RNA", at positions 355 to 774 of the family's 1533-position model. The record is from RNAcentral. Lineage: Bacteria; Pseudomonadati; Bacteroidota; Flavobacteriia; Flavobacteriales; Crocinitomicaceae.